RNAcentral lists this ribosomal RNA (460 nucleotides) under uncultured bacterium. RNAcentral's name for it is "partial 16S ribosomal RNA". It matches the Rfam family "Bacterial small subunit ribosomal RNA", at positions 338 to 795 of the family's 1533-position model. The record is from RNAcentral.
CCUACGGGUGGCAGCAGUGAGGAAUAUUGGUCAAUGGCCGGAAGGCUGAACCAGCCAUGCCGCGUGAAGGUCAGCGCCCUAUGGGCGUUAAACUUCUUUUGUGCGGGAGCAAUAAUGGUCACGUGUGGCCAGACGAGAGUACCGUACGAAUAAGAAUCGGCUAACUCCGUGCCAGCAGCCGCGGUAAUACAGGGGGUGCAAGCGUUAUCCGGAUUUUUUGGGUUUAAAGGGUGCGUAGGCUGGGAGGUAAUUCAGCGGUGAAAUGCCCCCGCUCAACGGGGUGAAGGGCCAUUGAUACUGCCUUGCUAGAGUGCGGAUGACGUGGGAGGAAUGUGUGGUGUAGCGGUGAAAUGCAUAGAUAUCACACAGAACACCGAUUGCGAAGGCAGCUCACGAAGCCGCGAUUGACGCUGAUGCACGAAAGCGUGGGUAUCAAACAGGAUUAGAUACCCCUGUAGUC